AGGCCUGAGGUACUGGAAGGUCCUCAGGCCGAAAGGGGCUCUGCCCGCCCGAGGAUGGGCCGGCGGCCGAUUAGGUAGUUGGUGGGGUAACGGCCCACCAAGCCGAAGAUCGGUACGGGCCAUGAGAGUGGGAGCCCGGAGAUGGACACUGAGACACGGGUCCAGGCCCUACGGGGCGCAGCAGGCGCGAAACCUCCGCAAUGCGGGCAACCGCGACGGGGGGACCCCCAGUGCCGUGGCAACGCCACGGCUUUUCCGGAGUGUAAAAAGCUCCGGGAAUAAGGGCUGGGCAAGGCCGGUGGCAGCCGCCGCGGUAAUACCGGCGGCCCGAGUGGUGGCCGCUAUUAUUGGGCCUAAAGCGUCCGUAGCCGGGCCCGUAAGUCCCUGGCGAAAUCCCACGGCUCAACCGUGGGGCUUGCUGGGGAUACUGCGGGCCUUGGGACCGGGAGAGGCCGGGGGUACCCCUGGGGUAGGGGUGAAAUCCUAUAAUCCCAGGGGGACCGCCAGUGGCGAAGGCGCCCGGCUGGAACGGGUCCGACGGUGAGGGACGAAGGCCAGGGGAGCGAACCGGAUUAGAUACCCGGGUAGUCCUGGCUGUAAAGGAUGCGGGCUAGGUGUCGGGCGAGCUUCGAGCUCGCCCGGUGCCGAAGGG
RNAcentral lists this ribosomal RNA (652 nucleotides) under uncultured archaeon. RNAcentral's name for it is "bacterial SSU rRNA". It matches the Rfam family "Archaeal small subunit ribosomal RNA", at positions 156 to 808 of the family's 1478-position model. The record is from RNAcentral.